UGUUUGGUGGCGAUAGCGAAGAGGUCACACCCGUUCCCAUACCGAACACGGAAGUUAAGCUCUUCAGCGCCGAUGGUAGUCGGGGGUUUCCCCCUGUGAGAGUAGGACGCCGCCAAG
This 117-nucleotide ribosomal RNA is filed under the name Bacillus subtilis QB928. Lineage: Bacteria; Bacillati; Bacillota; Bacilli; Caryophanales; Bacillaceae. The record is from RNAcentral.